AGCGAACGCUGGCGGCAGGCUUAACACAUGCAAGUCGAGCGGGCACUUCGGUGUCAGCGGCAGACGGGUGAGUAACACGUUGGAACGUACCCUUCGGUUCGGAAUAACGCUGGGAAACUAGCGCUAAUACCGGAUACGCCCUUUUGGGGAAAGGUUUACUGCCGAAGGAUCGGCCCGCGUCUGAUUAGCUAGUUGGUGGGGUAAUGGCCUACCAAGGCGACGAUCAGUAGCUGGUCUGAGAGGAUGAUCAGCCACACUGGGACUGAGACACGGCCCAGACUCCUACGGGAGGCAGCAGUGGGGAAUAUUGGACAAUGGGCGCAAGCCUGAUCCAGCCAUGCCGCGUGAGUGAUGAAGGCCUUAGGGUUGUAAAGCUCUUUUGUCCGGGACGAUAAUGACGGUACCGGAAGAAUAAGCCCCGGCUAACUUCGUG
RNAcentral lists this ribosomal RNA (433 nucleotides) under uncultured bacterium. Its description in RNAcentral is "partial 16S ribosomal RNA". It matches the Rfam family "Bacterial small subunit ribosomal RNA", at positions 29 to 507 of the family's 1533-position model. The record is from RNAcentral.